Cebus imitator (Panamanian white-faced capuchin) is the source of this 647-nucleotide long non-coding RNA. RefSeq lists it as uncharacterized. The record is from RefSeq and is a predicted model, not a curated record. NCBI's taxonomy places the organism in Eukaryota, Metazoa, Chordata, Mammalia, Primates, Cebidae. The transcript has 5 exons.
UUGGCCUUCCUGCCCUGCCCUGCAUGAUACAGAUACACUGUUAGGCAUUUGCAAUGGAUAUGCCUGCUCCGGCCAAAGGGUGCCCAGAGAUGUGAUAAAGGACUGCUCGACUCCGUCUCCGGGCUGAGUCAAAGUGCAAAACAGAAGGCCUGACCCAAACAUAACAGGUGCAUUUCCCCACUGGACACCACCAAACACCAAACUCUGCUAAUUCCAUAUGGAAGAAGAAGGCCAACUUAAAUUCCUGACCCACAAAAUUGAAACUGAUGACAUUGGACCUACUAAUAUGCAAAUAGGUUAGAAAAAGAAGCUUUCUGUAGAGAGGAUAGAUAUGAUAAGAUAAACAUAUAAAAGCUAAGGCUGGUAGAUCCAAUCAUGAUUGUCUUUCAUGCUAUUAGGGAAGAUACAACUUGUUAACGUUAAAGUUCUGCCAACAAGCUAGAGUGAGAAAGAAAACAAAUAGGAUAUGAUAUCUCAAUGUGUCCUUUCUCAGCUUAGAGGAUAACAAAAAAGAACAAGGAAAACCAGAAAUGAUUUCCCACUAUGGGGUUUUAUAGCUCUGAAGCAUGAAGAAAUUGUGUUGGAUAGCUUUUUUGCAAUGAUUUUUUCUGUAAGGUCAAGAGAGCAAUCAUAGCAUUAAGGGACAA